AUACGUAGGGUGCAAGCGUUAAUCGGAAUUACUGGGCGUAAAGCGUGCGCAGGCGGUUUUGUAAGACAGAGGUGAAAUCCCCGGGCCCAACCUGGGAACUGCCUUUGUGACUGCAAGGCUAGAGGACGGCAGAGGGGGAUGGAAUUCCGCGUGUAGCAGUGAAAUGCGUAGAUAUGCGGAGGAACACCGAUGGCGAAGGCAAUCCCCUGGGCCUGUACUGACGCUCAUGCACGAAAGCGUGGGGAGCAAACAGGAUUAGAUACCCUGGUAGUCCACGCCCUAAACGAUGUCAACUGGUUGUUGGGUCUUCAUUGACUCAGUAACGAAGCUAACGCGUGAAGUUGACCGCCUGGGGAGUACGGCCGCAAGGUUGAAACUCAAAUGAAUUGGCGCGG
Molecule: ribosomal RNA, 395 nt
Filed under: uncultured bacterium
Lineage: Bacteria
Description: partial 16S ribosomal RNA
Rfam family: Bacterial small subunit ribosomal RNA
Source: RNAcentral